AGAACUUGACCCUGUCAACUUGAAAUAAUCAGAAGAAUUAGAACCCAGUUUGAAAGAGGUUAUUUAGGCUUUGAGAAGCUGAGAAUAUAGAAUAUCCUUCCAGGAAACACAGAUGCCAGAGAAAUGAGCAUGGCCUCAUGGGAGAAUAUGUCUCUCCAACUGAGUCCGUUCCUUCCCCUAGAACAGGGGAAGGAAUGAAAGGAAUUCCGCGUUGUGGCACAUCCCAGAAUAGUUCCACCAGGAAAGAUCAAUGUGGAAAUCAAUGAGCCUCCUAUUGAUAUUCUGGGAUGGGAACAAGAAUAGCAGCCCAUGGCAAGCUGUGGUGAAACAGCCAAUCACGUUAUUGUCAGUGGUCCCCUGGGAUCACGUGCCUGUUAUGGAAGAAGCAAUGGAGCCAGGGGAGAAAUGGACAUCAUCUAGAGGUUUGGACUUGGGGAAGUGCAACUCCAUUGCUUUUAGUUGCAAUAGCUGGAGGAGACUUCAGGUUAUUUUCCACUGUAGAAAGGGUGGGUCUCCAUUGUGAAGUUGUAUUUAUGGAAAUAAGGAAGUAUGUAUGCACCAGGUGAGAAGAAGGGUAGGAGGGCUAUUAUAACCCUUGCCUUUUAUGAGUUAUGACCCUGCAUCCCUUUUUUGAGCUGCCAGCCUGCUCUUUGUGAUUUGGUGCAAGGCUUCCCACACAACCCAGUGCUGACUAUAGGGGUGAACUUAGGACUAAGUUAGAGCACUCGGAAUCUUUUUCCCUAGACAUUGAAUCUUGACCAUAGAUACACAGUGAUGGAUGGUGACUGCAGUUGUGGCCUUCAAUGGCAAUGUUUAAAGACAAGGUCUGUGAACUCCUGCUGCUGAGAUCUCUGAAACCAGAGCAGCCCUGUACCCUUUGUAUCUCAAGGCCGGAUGUGUUAUGGGACCAACAGGUUCAUAUUCCACUGUGUAGUAACAGGCCAAUGCACUGAGACAGCCAGGAGGCAGCAGAGAAAGUGUAAUGAUUGCAGGGCUCCUAGCAAGGAGAUGGGAGGAGACCCUAAAAUCCAUCUCCCUGAGAGUUCUGAGUUGGGGUUUUAAAGGGGAUCUUGGAAGGUGAGGGGGCUGGAAAAUUGGGGUCAUUGAUUGGUCAGGGCGAGGAGGAUGAAAUCAUCAGGAUGUGGAGCCUGUGUGCUUUGGUGAGUCAGUUUCUUGUGGGGUCCUUCAGACCUGCUGAUGCUGGUGGUUUUAGUGGCAUGCAGAAUGUGAAAGAAUAUCUCAAAGGAAAACAACAUUUCAUAAGGUUCCAGUUGUUAACUCUAGAGCAGAUAAGGGGAUCUAUAAUCUUGUAACAGGGUCUAUGUGAUUCUAGGACAAGAGACAAACAACAACAAGGAAAUACGUCAGAGAACAGGCUGCCCUCACGAUCAAUGCUGGGUGUGUUGCAAGCUUGUUUCAGUCUCAUUUCUCUCCCUCCCUUCUUCCCUGAUUACUUUAAUGAAGUUUAUUGGGACGGUUUCAGAUGCUCAACUUUCCAUAUGAUUAGGUGAGUGACCCAGAACCCUUCCAAAGUACCCUGUGGACUCAACCCUCUGCUUGAACAACGUACAAGAUAAUAUGAGACAUUUAUUUAUUGAGGACCUUCUAAGCACCUGGCACUGUGCCAGACUCUUUCAGAUGUAUAAAAUUUCACUUUCUCCUGAUGAUUCUGGAAAGGAAUGACGGCAUCUUAUGAAGCUGUAGCAGAUGCUGUCCUGGCCUCGCUCACAUCUCUCAGACGUGUUGGAGUGCCCCGGCUGCUGCUCUGCACGUGUAGCUGAGGUCCUGGUGGAAAAAUACCACCGGAGCUCUCUGAAGCUGGGGUGGAAUAAUUCCAAAGCGUGUGUUUUGCCUCCUUUCCCAGUGUCUGCCCAUGGGGCUAAGCUCUGGUCACCUGCUCCUGUCGCUGGUCUUGUGACACACAUGUGGCAGGAUGUCACCCUUUCCCUGGGUUGUGUCCACUUUCCUUGUUGUGUUAUUCAUGCUCUCCAAAUAAAAUGCUUUCACUC
Chlorocebus sabaeus (green monkey) is the source of this 2009-nucleotide non-coding RNA. The record is from RefSeq and is a predicted model, not a curated record. Lineage: Eukaryota; Metazoa; Chordata; Mammalia; Primates; Cercopithecidae.